UGUAUGGGGGGAUUGAGAGGUUAGUUAGCUAACUAGCAGCUCUACCCAAUUAGCUUUCUAGCUAUCUAUCUUGUAAAUACAUUAAAUAAAGCCAUUGCAGUUGUUUUAUGAGUAGUAAUUUCCAGAUGGAGAAAUGCCAGAUUGGUCUGUAAUAAUUAACGUUAAAUAACUGCGAUCUGUAUCUACGAUGAGGGUUUUUCGCUUUUUUCUCUGUGAGGUAGUAGACAGACUGAAACUGUCCUUUCUACAGUGGCCAACAUGGAGUGGAAAAGCGACACAAAACCAACCAGUGGCAAAAAAUAUAAGACAUUUGUAGUGAUAAGACCAUAGAGAAUGAAUAGAAAAUGUGAGGAAAUGUCACCCUGGCAUAUAGUCGUCACUAUAUUAACAACAUUACGUUUAUGUCAUGAACAUCCAAAUUAUCCAAACCAGACACUAGCAUUUUCAUUUCACUGGGUAUUCGUCUGCUCAUAUAAAACCACAAAGUUUGUUAUACCGAAUGCAGAUACCGCCCCGCAAAGUAGAUGGAGCUUGCCCACAAACUUGGAUGAUGGCGUUGUUUACUUCAAACGAACACAGUCAUCUCAGAACUUCUCUAGCAGAUGUACAGUACCAGCAAAUAUUCUGCAAGAGGUCCAGAGUUCCUACACCACUUCCAGCCGAGUCUUAUCCAGCUGGCCAUGCGUCGCAGACAGGACAAGACCAUUCGCCACAAGGAGUCUCAGCUUCCCCAGCCCACCAUGCCAAACACCAUUGCCAGUGUACCGAAGCCAGAUAAAGGACAGUGUGGCUCAGCCUAAGACCAUGUAGAACACCA
Molecule: long non-coding RNA, 817 nt
Organism: Salmo salar (Atlantic salmon)
Lineage: Eukaryota; Metazoa; Chordata; Actinopteri; Salmoniformes; Salmonidae
Source: RefSeq, a predicted model, not a curated record